GUUAAAUUUACUUUUUNNNNGUAAAAAUAUAUUAUUUAUUUAAAAAAUCAUUUUUUUUGUUUUUGUAUUUGUUAAAGAUUUAAUUUUAUUUGGUGAUAAAUUAUUUGUACUGUGAGGGUUAAUUGAAAUAGAUAUAUUUAUUAAUUAAGUUGAUUUUAUUUAUUGUACCUUGUGUAUCAGGAUUAAUUAAAUGAUUAUCAUAAAUUUUGAUGCUCUCGAUUUUAUAAGAGUUAAUUUAUUAUUUUAGUUAUUAUUUUAUAAAUAUUAAUAAUAAUAAAUUAGUAGUGAUAUAUUAAUCGUUUAUAAGGGUAUCUAGUUUUUUGGGAAAUAAAUUUAAUUUACAUUUUUUCUUUAAUUUUUAUUUCUUUUUAAUAUAAUUUAAGUUUAAAUGAAUAAUAAGGGGGAUAAGCUCUUUAUUAAAUUUCUAUAAAUAGAUUUUUAGUUAAAUAAGUUCUGUGGAUUUAGUGAUGAUUAACAUUAUGAGUGUGUUAAAAUAUUAUUUAUUUAUUAUUUAAUUUUGAUAUUUUUAGGUUUAUACCAAAAAGUUUUAAUAAAUUUUUAUUUAAUUUUAAUUAUGAUUAAAUUAGUAUAUUAAUAUAUUUAUAUAAUUAUUUAUUUUAAAAUAAAUUUGAGGAAUUAGGCAAGGUAAAUUAUUCGCCUGUUUAACAAAAACAUCUUUUCUUGUGUUUGAAUAUGAAAUAUAACCUGCUCAAUGAAUUUUAAAUAGCCGCGGUAUAUUGACCGUGCAAAGGUAGCAUAAUCAUUAGUCUUUUAAUUGUAGGCUGGAAUGAAUGGUUGGACGAGAUAAUAACUUUCUUAAAUUUAUUAAUUUGAAUUUAAUUAUUGUGUUAAAAAGCACAAAUUUAUUUUUGGGACGAGAAGACCCUAUAGAGUUUAAUAAUUAAUAUAUUUUUUAAUAUUUGAUGUUUUAUUAAUUAUAUAAUAUUAUUUUGUUGGGGUGAUGUAAAGAUAUGAUGAACUCUUUUUAUUUAUUAUUUAUAACUUAAUAUUUAUUUGAUCCAUUUUUAAUGAUUGAAAGAUUAAAUUACCUUAGGGAUAACAGCGUAAUCUUUUUUGAGAGUUCUUAUUGACAAUAAGGGUUGCGACCUCGAUGUUGGAUUAAGAUUAUUCUUAGGUGCAAAAGCUUAAGGUUUAGGUCUGUUCGACCUUUAAAUUCUUACAUGAUCUGAGUUCAAACCGGCGUGAGCCAGGUUGGUUUCUAUCUAUUAAUAAGUUUAUUAUUUUAGUACGAAAGGACCAAAUAAUAGAAAUAAUUUUUGUUAAUUGAAUAAUAAUAAUAUUUAACUAUUUUGGCAGAUAAGUGCAA
RNAcentral lists this ribosomal RNA (1327 nucleotides) under Geoscapheus robustus. RNAcentral's name for it is "16S ribosomal RNA". The stretch from base 1056 to 1214 matches the Rfam family "Archaeal large subunit ribosomal RNA", at positions 2542 to 2701 of the family's 2987-position model. Lineage: Eukaryota; Metazoa; Arthropoda; Insecta; Blattodea; Blaberidae. The record is from RNAcentral.